UAUAUAUAUAUAUAUAUAAGAUUAGAGUUGAGUUGGUAUACUAUCUGUAGUAAAUGGACUCCGUUGCCACUCAUUUGUUUUCGAUGAUGGAGCCUCCAAAUCGACGAUUGACACCGUUGAAUAUUAUCUAUAUCAAACUAAAUUUCAUACUUUUUCGAUAUUAUUUUUUUGUCCAUCAAGUGGGCACAAAAAUGAACAACUGAAAACGAUUAUCUUUUAAAAGGUAAUGAUAAGAGUCUCACAGUCAAGAUCAAGAGUAUGGAUCUUGUUUUAAAUAGUUCAGAGAAUUUUUUAAUAAAAAUUUAAUUAAUUUGGAUAUUUUUACACUAUUAAACAAGAAAAUGUCUCAUAUCGACCAUUAAAAUUACAGAUUUUAAAAUUCUUUGAUCAUUAGGCCAAUGAUGUCGAAAAAAUUUGAAAUUUGAUUUCUAUAUACUUCAAGUGGUAUAGGUCAUGGUUAACGAUGCCGAUCGUUGAUUUGGAGGCUUCAUCAUGUAAAAUAAAUGGUGGCAAUAGAGUCUGUUUGUUAUUUAUAGCAAUCCGGCUAAACUCUAUAUAAUUAAAUGUUUGUUUG
Molecule: long non-coding RNA, 574 nt
Filed under: Ananas comosus (pineapple)
Lineage: Eukaryota; Viridiplantae; Streptophyta; Magnoliopsida; Poales; Bromeliaceae
Description: long non-coding RNA (ACOM_LNC020629)
Source: RNAcentral